Molecule: transfer RNA, 83 nt
Filed under: Devosia geojensis
Lineage: Bacteria; Pseudomonadati; Pseudomonadota; Alphaproteobacteria; Hyphomicrobiales; Devosiaceae
Rfam family: tRNA
About the family: Transfer RNA (tRNA) molecules are approximately 80 nucleotides in length. Their secondary structure includes four short double-helical elements and three loops (D, anti-codon, and T loops).
Source: Rfam by way of RNAcentral
GCGGGCGUGGUGGAACCGGUAGACACAAGGGACUUAAAAUCCCUCGGCCACAAGCCAUGCGGGUUCGAGUCCCGCCGCCCGCA